Molecule: long non-coding RNA, 1212 nt
Filed under: Daphnia pulicaria
Lineage: Eukaryota; Metazoa; Arthropoda; Branchiopoda; Diplostraca; Daphniidae
Description: uncharacterized LOC124312544, transcript variant X3
Source: RNAcentral
UACUGAGGUGGUCAUAAACUUUAUCCUAAUUUUUUAAAGUUUACUGUAUAUACACGCCACUGCAGGAAAAAUGCUGUUCAAAUAUUUUUGACAGAUCUACAUUUACAGUGAUUCUAUCAGCAGUGCUGACUACAAUUCCAACUCUUAUACUUCCACAACAACCUGCACCACAUCCACAACCUCGUUAACUGUGUCCUGUCUCCUGUCCCGGACGUCUUCGUCGUCGUGCGAUCUCGAAAAGUCCAGGUUCUUACACAACGAGAACGAAGAAAACCGAUAAACGGCAGAAUUUCCCUGUCGCCUUCACCAGUCCAACACUCUUUUCAAGAAAUGAGAAACAAUCCGGUCGACCUGAUCUAAAAGGCACAGAAGCUGAAAUCCCCGCAUUAGUAAUCGAAUCAAGUUUUGUUGAAACAAAAACAAUCCUUCCGCCCCAAACGUCCACCUUGACCUUCGUAACGGCCGUAACGGCACUUCGACGGUAACACAGUGCUUACACCAACAUUCGGCUCAAGUAGAUGUCCAGAUGCACACUAGAUGGUAGUUCAGUGCACAUGCAUCAGCCAGCGCAGGUAAUGCAAAUUAAAUGCACCUCAAGAUCUCUGGGACUCCGGGCGGAAAUGGAUGAGCAGCUCCGCUUUAGCGUCUAGCGCGGACCGGGGCGGCCUUGGCCUUGGCGACUUCGGGUGUGUCCUGGAUCUGGGCGGGCGCUACCAAAUCGGCGAUGGGAGCGACGGGCAAGUCGUUGGAUCGAACGCGGCAUUGUAUCCGUAAAACUGCAUGAGCUUGGGCGGCAACAGCCAACACUAACUAUACGACCUCCUUCAGACUUGUUUCGGAUACUGUAAACAGUCUCCGUUUUACUAAUUUACAUUAAUAAGACGCAGUUGAAUGUUACUGGUGGAAUGAAAACAUAAACGCAAUAUAGAAAUUCAUUUUUUUUAAGUAAUUAAUUCCCAAUAUUUUGUGCCCUUCUUUCAGUACUUGUUAUAAAGUACAUUUGUUUCUAAACAUCAUUGAAAAAUACCAGAGAAAAAAGUUUGACUUCCCGUCAUAGCAGAAUCUAUUGAUUUUUUUAGUUAUAAAAAUUGAAAAUAAAUUUGCGAAUUUCUUGUGUGCAUUUAGGCGAAAUAUCUUGGUUUGUAAAGAAGAGUAAACAUGCCGAGCAAUAGAAGUAGAAGCAAAACUGCAGAAGUCCCCUCCUUUGACGAA